UUUCGCAAUGCCCGAAAGGGUGACGAAGCGACGCCGCGUGUGGGAAGAAGGCCCUCGGGUUGUAAACCACUGUCAGGAGUUAAGAAAUAUAGAGAUGUUAAUAGCGUCUCUAUUUGACGAAGGCUCCAGAGGAAGCCACGGCUAACUCUGUGCCAGCAGCCGCGGUAAUACAGAGGUGGCAAGCGUUGUUCGGAAUUAUUGGGCGUAAAGAGCACGUAGGCGGCCUUGCAAGUCAGUUGUGAAAGCCUUUCGCUCAACGGAAGAAUGGCAGCUGAUACUACAGGGCUAGAGUGCGGGAGGGGAGAGUGGAACUUCUGGUGGAGCGGUGAAAUGCGUAGAUAUCAGAAGGAACGCCGGCGGCGAAAGCGACUCUCUGGACCGCAACUGACGCUGAGUGUGCGAAAGCUAGGGGAGCAAACGGGAUUAGAUACCCCGGUAGUCCUAGCCGUAAACGAUGGGCACUAAGUAGAGGGGUUUUA
Molecule: ribosomal RNA, 479 nt
Filed under: uncultured bacterium
Lineage: Bacteria
Description: bacterial SSU rRNA
Rfam family: Bacterial small subunit ribosomal RNA
Source: RNAcentral